RNAcentral lists this ribosomal RNA (412 nucleotides) under uncultured prokaryote. RNAcentral describes it as "bacterial SSU rRNA". It matches the Rfam family "Bacterial small subunit ribosomal RNA", at positions 505 to 918 of the family's 1533-position model. The record is from RNAcentral.
GUGUCAGCAGCCGCGGUAAUACGGAGGGGGCUAGCGUUGUUCGGAAUCACUGGGCGUAAAGGGCGUGUAGGCGGCGGAUUUAGUUAGGCGUGAAAGCCCCGGGCUCAACCUGGGAACUGCGCUUGAUACUGGUCUGCUGGAGUCCGGGAGAGGCGAGUGGAAUAUCCAGUGUAGAGGUGAAAUUCGUAGAUAUUGGAUGGAACACCGAUGGCGAAGGCAGCUCGCUGGACCGGGACUGACGCUGAGGCGCGAAAGCGUGGGGAGCAAACAGGAUUAGAGACCCUGGUAGUCCACGCUGUAAACGAUGUUCACUAGACGUCGGGGGUUAGGCCUUCGGUGUCGCAGCUAACGCAUUAAGUGAACCGCCUGGGGAGUACGGCCGCAAGGUUAAAACUUAAAGGAAUUGGCGGGG